This 1051-nucleotide long non-coding RNA is filed under the name Sinocyclocheilus anshuiensis. Its description in RNAcentral is "lncRNA (ENSSANG00000016905.1)". The record is from RNAcentral. Lineage: Eukaryota; Metazoa; Chordata; Actinopteri; Cypriniformes; Cyprinidae.
CUCAGCUUUAUAAAGUUAAGCCAGGCUCAAUUAAGGCCUGUUUGAUCUUCUCCUGCGCAUUUUGCCCCGCUAGCAAUAUUAAUGAGGCUGUUUAGUGUCAGCACCUGUGGAGGGUGGGGCUCAGCCUGGCCAGAAUUAGAGACUAAUUAGAGAUAAUCUAGGCUUCUUAACGAGCCAGGUGUGCCAGAGAGCAUUGAGAGAGCGUUUAGGUACUUCGCUCUCCCCUACAGGUAAUGACUGCAGAGACAGAGAGGAAAGACACAGGAAAACAUAGACGUUGGCAGCGUUUUAGUGUACGUUGGGUGAACUGGACUAAGAAAGAUUGAAAGAGAACGGGGGAGAAGUCGCAUCCAUCAGGGAAAUCUGCCGAAAGAGUUCAGGAGUCAAGGGGCCGGGAAGCAGCAGUGUGUGUGUGGGACGGCUUGCAUACCUCAUUAUCACUACCUGUAGGCUCAGCUCUGGGAAAGUGUCGGCUGUAGAUGGACCGGGAAGAUUAGCUGUAAGAGGGACGGACACACACACACACACACUUACAGAUCUUUCCAACCAGUGAUUUGAUGAGCGGAUAAAGAGAGGAGGAACGAGGGAAGGAGAGAUGAAUCAGGACAACACCGCAGAGGAAUGAGAUUGAGAGAUAGGAAAGAGGAACAAAGCAGUUAGGACCCUCACCCAGAAAACUGCAAGAUCCAGACCAAGACUGAACCCCCUGAAGCCCUGAUUCAGACCAAAUAUACCCCAAAGUCCCAGACUACAAAGCAGGCUGCCUGUUUGAAUGUAAUGAAGUAGAGAAAAUGUCGCAUUUAUUUCAAACACCCAAGUUUUAAUCUUAUUCAUGUACAUAUUUAGUAUCGCCACAUCAACCAGUGACCAGGCAGAACGAUUAUUUUUCUUACAUUUAUAUCACAAUUACAUCAAAUUUCAGCAAAUCCAGCAGGUCAUCUAAACGUCUUCGAGAGUUUCCUUGAGAUGCCAUAAUGAACAAAAGUGAAGUGAACCUUGCCAAAAAGAUUGAAACUGAUUGACACCCUCUUGAGGGUAUGUGGAGUUGAGC